RNAcentral lists this long non-coding RNA (346 nucleotides) under Androctonus crassicauda. Lineage: Eukaryota; Metazoa; Arthropoda; Arachnida; Scorpiones; Buthidae. The record is from RNAcentral.
AUAUCACACGGCCCCACUGAUGUCACCACACCCCACCCUGAUGUUCCGACCAAGCAUUUCCUAUCUAUCCCACGACAUCCUAUGUGCCGCGAGAUCGCCAAUAUAAUUAAGAAAAAAUACGAAUAUCACGUAUCUGAAAGAAACGCGACUGUUUUCCAAAUGAUACGCAACGACAAAGAAGCUAGGCCUAAUGUCGAGAGGUGCGGGGUAUAUGAGAUACCGUUAGUCGCUCCCAUGACCAACGCGGUAACCUAUUUCAUCAGAAUAACCCAAUGGCGCCUGAAGGAUCAUAUACAACAACACAAGUACGACAUACAUAACAACAAAGAAAAUGCUGUUCUAGCAC